This 253-nucleotide ribosomal RNA is filed under the name uncultured bacterium. RNAcentral describes it as "partial 16S ribosomal RNA". It matches the Rfam family "Bacterial small subunit ribosomal RNA", at positions 524 to 776 of the family's 1533-position model. The record is from RNAcentral.
UACGUAGGGGGCUAGCGUUGUCCGGAAUCAUUGGGCGUAAAGCGCACGUAGGCGGUUCGUUAUGUCGGAUGUGAAAGCCCUUGGCUUAACCGAGGAAGUGCAUCCGAAACUGGCGAGCUAGAGUACGAAAGAGGAUCGCGGAAUUCCCGGUGUAGAGGUGAAAUUCGUAGAUAUCGGGAGGAACACCGGUGGCGAAGGCGGCGAUCUGGGUCGAUACUGACGCUGAGGUGCGAAAGCGUGGGGAGCAAACAGG